Molecule: ribosomal RNA, 253 nt
Filed under: uncultured bacterium
Lineage: Bacteria
Description: partial 16S ribosomal RNA
Rfam family: Bacterial small subunit ribosomal RNA
Source: RNAcentral
UACGAAGGGGGCUAGCGUUGCUCGGAAUCACUGGGCGUAAAGGGUGCGUAGGCGGGUCUUUAAGUCAGAGGUGAAAUCCUGGAGCUCAACUCCAGAACUGCCUUUGAUACUGAGGAUCUUGAGUUCGGGAGAGGUGAGUGGAACUGCGAGUGUAGAGGUGAAAUUCGUAGAUAUUCGCAAGAACACCAGUGGCAAAGGCGGCUCACUGGCCCGAUACUGACGCUGAGGCACGAAAGCGUGGGGAGCAAGCAGG